RNAcentral lists this ribosomal RNA (250 nucleotides) under uncultured prokaryote. RNAcentral describes it as "partial 16S ribosomal RNA". It matches the Rfam family "Bacterial small subunit ribosomal RNA", at positions 524 to 773 of the family's 1533-position model. The record is from RNAcentral.
UACAUAGGGGGCGAGCGUUAUCCGGAAUUAUUGGGUGUAAAGGGUGCGUAGACGGGAAUUUAAGUUAGUAGUGAAAACCCCAGGCUUAACUUGGGAAUUGCUACUAAGACUGGAUUUCUUGAGUACUGGAGAGGAAAGUGGAAUUCCUAGUGUAGCGGUGAAAUGCGUAGAUAUUAGGAGGAACACCAGUGGCGAAGGCGACUUUCUGGACAGAAACUGACGUUGAGGCACGAAAGUGUGGGGAGCAAAC